RNAcentral lists this ribosomal RNA (292 nucleotides) under uncultured bacterium. Its description in RNAcentral is "partial 16S ribosomal RNA". It matches the Rfam family "Bacterial small subunit ribosomal RNA", at positions 505 to 796 of the family's 1533-position model. The record is from RNAcentral.
GUGUCAGCCGCCGCGGUAAUACAGAGGGUGCAAGCGUUAAUCGGAAUUACUGGGCGUAAAGGGUGCGUAGGUGGCUUAAUAAGUUAGGUGUGAAAGUCCUGGGCUUAACCUGGGGAUUGCGCCUAAUACUGUUAAGCUAGAGUACUGUAGAGGAAGGUGGAAUUUCCGGUGUAGCGGUGAAAUGCGUAGAUAUCGGAAGGAACAUCAGUGGCGAAGGCGACUUUCUGGACAGAUACUGACACUGAGGCACGAAAGCGUGGGGAGCAAACAGGAUUAGAAACCCUCGUAGUCC